UAUAGUCAAAUGGUUAUGAUAUUACGCUCUCAACCCUCUGAUUACCUAAAAGGGACUGUACCGUGAAGUUCCGGGUUCGAUUCCCGGU
RNAcentral lists this transfer RNA (88 nucleotides) under Thraustochytrium sp. LLF1b. It matches the Rfam family "tRNA", at positions 6 to 64 of the family's 71-position model. From Rfam's summary of the family: Transfer RNA (tRNA) molecules are approximately 80 nucleotides in length. The record is from RNAcentral. Lineage: Eukaryota; Bigyra; Thraustochytrida; Thraustochytriidae.